UACGGAGGAUGCAAGCGUUAUCCGGGAUUCAUUGGGUUUAAAGGGUGCGUAGGCGGACUAUUAAGUCAGUGGUGAAAUCCUGCAGCUUAACUGCAGAACUGCCGUUGAUACUGAUAGUCUUGAGUUUGGUUAAGGUAGGCGGAAUGUGUAAUGUAGCGGUGAAAUGCUUAGAUAUUACACAGAACACCAAUUGCGUAGGCAGCUUACUGAGCCGACACUGACGCUGAGGCACGAAAGCGUGGGGAGCAAACCGGAUUA
This 258-nucleotide ribosomal RNA is filed under the name uncultured prokaryote. RNAcentral describes it as "partial 16S ribosomal RNA". It matches the Rfam family "Bacterial small subunit ribosomal RNA", at positions 524 to 780 of the family's 1533-position model. The record is from RNAcentral.